GGGACGCAACUACCGGCUCCCCAGGGGCCGGGAGAGGCAGGCAGCUGGUGUGCAAUUCGGGGGCUCUCCGGCUGUCUAGGCCGUGGCAGCACGGAGGAGCCAGCUCGGAGCAUCUCCGGGGCAGGAAGAUUCCCAAGGCCCAAGCUGCAGGGACCAGUUUGGGGUGCCUGGAGAGAAUGGCUCUGUGCCACAGCCAGGACCGUCUCUGUGUGAGCUCUGGUGGAUGGGGAACUGCAGGAUUAAUGGAGAUGUGCGGAAAGGUGCCAGCCCUGCUUCUAUGUGUGCACAUGUGUGCGGGAGCUAGAUCCGAGUAUCUGUGCAGACGGCGUGGCCAUGGGGGUAUUGAUCGUGGUGUUCCCAGGUGCCUGUGUCGCUGGCAGGGUGGGCGAGGGGGUUUCUUCUCUCCGUUGCAUUUCCCUGCGUGUGAUGCUUUUCUCUCCUUGUGUUUUGCAGUGCAACCACCCCCUGGCAGGCACGGCACACGCUUGCCCUCGCCCCUGACGGUGCAUGAUGGAAGUGGCCAGUCUCAAAGACUUCCAGUGAAAAUCCCUGGCACCGCUCCCCAACAGCAGGGUCUACUGCUCCUUGGUGGAAGUGGGAGGGCAGGUCUUUGCCAUCGGGGGCUGAGAUGACAACAGCAUCCCCAUGCACUGCUUUGAGGUGUACUCCCCAAAGCCGACCAGUGGGACUCCCUCCUUCCCAUGCCCGCGGCCCAGGCCACCCUGGGCAAGCGGAUCAUGGUGAUCGGAGGGGUUGGAGUGAAUCUGAUGCCCCUGAAGAGCGUAGAGAUGUACAACAUCCAUGAGGGCAAGUGGCAGAAGAGGAACUCCCCGAGAGAAGCAGCGAUCGGCAUCUCGGUGACUGCGAAAGGCGAGGAGAAUUUGUUUGCUACGGCAGGCCUGUGGCUGGCAGGGAGGCCCCCCCGGUGCGGGGAGCACGGCAGGGAGAAGAGGGCUGCGCAGGGCUCCAGGGGCAAGGGGGGACUUUGAGCUGGGAUGGGAGAAGGAUCCCCUUUCCCUGGGAACUUGAACUGGGCCUUGUCUGAGGCUGGAGGAGUUGAUCAGUGGGUUGCCUUCCCUUCUGCAACAUCCCUUGUGCAGGGAAGAGGGACCAUUACUCUCACAGCCCUGACCCUGAAGGAGAUCCCGGACUGAAGCCAUUGGGCACAGCUAAAUCCUGCGGCUCUCCCACUCUCCAGCUGUCUUGGCGGACAGCGACCUCUGUUUCCCCCAGGAUUAUUUUUUAUUUUGCCAGGCUCAAGCUUCACACAGGAGUCCAGACUUCCCCAAGGUUUGGGGUCAGGCCCAUUUCUCCUUCCAGCUUCCUGUAACUCAGGGAAGGAAGCUAAGAGGGGUUCAGGGGCCAGUUCUGCUUUUGAGUACAACAGGGUCAAUCUGGAGCGACUUCACUUGGUUUGCCCAGGGCAGGAUUGGCUCCCUGUGUUGGUUCUGGUCACAUUUAUUUCCAAGGCCCACUCACCGGGUUUGCAGAGGCACUGACUGCUCAAGACUCCAUGGAUAUCUGUGGGAGCGAGGAGCUCCUAGUGCCUCUGCAAAUCAGGCUGUCAAGAUCCCUGCACUGGUUUAACCUUCCUGGUGGUGUGAGGCCUGGGCUGCAGCUGUUGGAACAUCCCUGGGGUGGGCACGGGGCAGGCACCCCCAAGCCUGUGGCACCCCUGGGGCUGCUGCACCACCCAGGCAAGGGGCGAGGGCACGGGGCCCAGAGCUGAGCCCAGGCUGCACCUGCACUGGUCCAGGCUGGCUCUGCACCCCAUGCUGGCCUUGGGGGCAUGUGCCCGGGCAGCCGGCAGGGGUGUGGGGAUUGGGGCCUGGUGUGCUCCCGGGGCAGGCGGGCACUGCCUGCUGCUGCAUGGGGCUGAGCCUCUGCUUUCCAGCGCCCUGCACCGGGCCGGCCCUGCAGCAGCACCACGGCCUCCAGCAGGGCCUCAGUGCAGCCCGGAGGCCCAAGUGCUUGGGGCUUGCCCUGCCCCUGCCCCUGCCCCGCUCUGUCAGCGCUUCGUGCUGCGCUGGGACAGGGAGCCAAGGCCGGGCCAGUGUAACAUACGCACUGUGCAAUGUGAUGCAUUGUGUGCAUUAAGAUGUGACAUGAGUGUGUGCCAGAAGGACAGCAAUUUGCAGAGGGCUGCUGACUGCCCUUGCACCACACAUCGCAGAGGCACCUGGAAGUGGGAAGAGGAAGUGAUGAGGACCCUGCAGAGUCCUGCUGCUGGACUGCAAAUCCCCCAAACCCAGCGGGACAGGAGGAGGAGGUGGUGACCUGGGAUCCCUGGCUGGCGACAUGCCAGCAAAGCUGCCAGCCGUGGUGCCCGCUGGAGAGGGCCUGAAGCAGAGAAGACGCUGCAUGGCACAGGGCUCUGGAGGAAAGGCUGGUUCUUGGGGACAUCCCUCCGCACAGGAGGGCAGGGGACCGACCGUAUGUGCUGAUGUGUGACCCAGCGGGACUGACCACUACCUGUCCCCUGCCCUCGAAGUGCACGUGCUUAUACUUGGGCUGCCUGUGUCCUGGGUGUCUGUCCCUUCCCUUGGCCUGUGCCCCCAGCGCCCAAGACACUGCCUAGAAAGGCCAUCCCUCCUGGGCUGCAGUGCCUGUGCCUGGCCCCGCCGGGCUCUCUUCCACCAGGCUCACACC
Molecule: long non-coding RNA, 2649 nt
Organism: Alligator sinensis (Chinese alligator)
Lineage: Eukaryota; Metazoa; Chordata; Crocodylia; Alligatoridae
Exons: 3
Source: RefSeq, a predicted model, not a curated record